This 492-nucleotide ribosomal RNA is filed under the name uncultured bacterium. RNAcentral describes it as "partial 16S ribosomal RNA". It matches the Rfam family "Bacterial small subunit ribosomal RNA", at positions 29 to 507 of the family's 1533-position model. The record is from RNAcentral.
AGUGAACGCUGGCGGUAGGCCUAACACAUGCAAGUCGAACGGCAGCACAGUAAGAGCUUGCUCUUACGGGUGGCGAGUGGCGGACGGGUGAGGAAUACAUCGGAAUCUACUUUUUCGUGGGUGAUAACGUAGGGAAACUUACGCUAAUACCGCAUACGACCUACGGGUGAAAGCAGGGGAUCUUCGGACCUUGCGCGAUUGAAUGAGCCGAUGUCGGAUUAGCUAGUUGGCGUGGUAAAGGCCCACCAAGGCGACGCUCCGUAGCUGGUCUGAGAGGAUGAUCAGCCACACUGGAACUGAGACACGGUCCAGACUCCUACGGGAGGCAGCAGUGGGGAAUAUUGGACAAUGGGCGCAAGCCUGAUCCAGCCAUACCGCGUGAGUGAAGAAGGCCUUCGGGUUGUAAAGCCCUUUUGUUGGGAAAGAAAAGCAGCAGGUUAAUACCCCGCUGUUCUGACGGUACCCAAAGAGUAAGCACCGGCUAACUUCGUG